RNAcentral lists this ribosomal RNA (423 nucleotides) under uncultured bacterium. Its description in RNAcentral is "bacterial SSU rRNA". It matches the Rfam family "Bacterial small subunit ribosomal RNA", at positions 202 to 622 of the family's 1533-position model. The record is from RNAcentral.
AAGACCUCACGUUAUUGGAGUGGCCUACGGCUGAUUAGCUAGUUGGUGAGGUAAAGGCUCACCAAGGCGACGAUCCGUAGCUGGUCUGAGAGGAUGAUCAGCCACACUGGGACUGAGACACGGCCCAGACUCCUACGGGAGGCAGCAGUGGGGAAUUUUGGACAAUGGGGGCAACCCUGAUCCAGCCAUGCCGCGUGAGUGAAGAAGGCCUUCGGGUUGUAAAGCUCUUUCGGCCGGAACGAAAUCGCAUCUUCUAAUACGGGGUGUGGAUGACGGUACCGGAAGAAGAAGCACCGGCUAACUACGUGCCAGCAGCCGCGGUAAUACGUAGGGUGCGAGCGUUAAUCGGAAUUACUGGGCGUAAAGCGUGCGCAGGCGGUUUUGUAAGUCAGAUGUGAAAGCCCCGGGCUCAACCUGGGAAUU